Molecule: ribosomal RNA, 353 nt
Filed under: uncultured Desulfocapsa sp.
Lineage: Bacteria; Pseudomonadati; Thermodesulfobacteriota; Desulfobulbia; Desulfobulbales; Desulfocapsaceae
Description: bacterial SSU rRNA
Rfam family: Bacterial small subunit ribosomal RNA
Source: RNAcentral
UUGGAGACAGGUGCUGCAUGGCUGUCGUCAGCUCGUGUCGUGAGAUGUUGGGUUAAGUCCCGCAACGAGCGCAACCCUUGUCUUUAGUUGCCAUCAUUUAGUUGGGCACUCUAAAGAGACUGCCGGUGUCAAACCGGAGGAAGGUGGGGAUGACGUCAAGUCCUCAUGGCCUUUAUGACCAGGGCUACACACGUACUACAAUGGCCGGUACAAAGGGCAGCCACUUAGCGAUAAGGAGCCAAUCCCGUAAAGCCGGUCUCAGUCCGGAUUGGAGUCUGCAACUCGACUCCAUGAAGUUGGAAUCGCUAGUAAUCGCAGAUCAGCACGCUGCGGUGAAUACGUUCCCGGGCCUU